AGAAAUAAGAAAAUGCAUAAUUAAAAUUAGUUUUUAGGAAGAAAAAUGACAUUUUACAUUCUUUCAGGAAGAAAAAUAAUAAUUUUCUAUGAGAAACAAUUAUGAGAAAACAUUUGUCAGGUAGAGGCACAAGUGCAGAUUUCUCUGAGGCAAUGGUGUUUAAGUGGAAACAUUUAGUCAGGUGAGUGGGAGUUAGCUAGGACAAAAAUAGGAGAGAUGUAGGCAUUUUCAAUCUGGAGGAAUGAGAAGGGAGGAAGAUCAUAAAAUGAAAAGAGCAAGGAAUUUUGAGGAACUUGAAUAAGUUAGCAAAGUAGAAAGGGGAAUUAAGUAGGGUGAGAUGUUAAGAUUUAGGUUUUAUUUUAAGAUCAUUAGAAAAUAACCCAGUAAUUUCCAAUCUUGAAAUUAAUGCUCAGGAGAUAAUUUGAAGAGCAGAUUAGAAGGGCAAGGAGUCUCCAGGGGGAAGACCAAUUAGAAUGUUACUACCAGAUUCAAGAGCAUUUUGAUUUUGACUAGGUUAGUAGCAGUAGAAAUAAAGAUAAAUGUUGAACUUGAGUUCUAGUUAAAACAGAAGUAACAAUUGAUGUGAAUAUUUGGGGGGAUGUUGGUUGUGUUGAAGAAGAGGAUGGAAAGAAGACCAAGAAGAAACAGAGAGAUGGGAGGAAAACUGGAGAGUACAGUGUCAAAAAGCCGAAGGGAGAUAGUGUUUUACAAAAGUGUUCAACUGUGUCAAAAACUGCUGAGAAGAUCAAGAAAGAAAAAGGUGACAGACAUUCACCAUUAUAUUUUCUAACAUGAAGGCUUGUGUAAGAAGAAUUUUAGUAGAAUAAUGAGAGCUAAUGUGAGAUUAAAGUUCAUUAAGGAGUAGAGAUAGCAGGGUAAGCAACUAUUGGAGAAGUCUGUCAAGGGCAUAGCUCGGAACACAAAGAGUCAAUGACUAGUUACUUUUGGAUGUAGAUAAAAGGUCCCAAGUUAUUUGCUCUUUCUCCCAUUGAGAAGUGGUUUUUAGUUAUUCUUUCCUUGAUUUG
RNAcentral lists this long non-coding RNA (1025 nucleotides) under Marmota monax (woodchuck). Lineage: Eukaryota; Metazoa; Chordata; Mammalia; Rodentia; Sciuridae. The record is from RNAcentral.